This 465-nucleotide ribosomal RNA is filed under the name Vreelandella stevensii. RNAcentral describes it as "partial 16S ribosomal RNA". It matches the Rfam family "Bacterial small subunit ribosomal RNA", at positions 338 to 795 of the family's 1533-position model. Lineage: Bacteria; Pseudomonadati; Pseudomonadota; Gammaproteobacteria; Oceanospirillales; Halomonadaceae. The record is from RNAcentral.
CCUACGGGCGGCUGCAGUGGGGAAUAUUGGACAAUGGGGGGAACCCUGAUCCAGCCAUGCCGCGUGUGUGAAGAAGGCCCUCGGGUUGUAAAGCACUUUCAGUGAGGAAGAACGCCUGGUGGUUAAUACCCAUCAGGAAAGACAUCACUCACAGAAGAAGCACCGGCUAACUCCGUGCCAGCAGCCGCGGUAAUACGGAGGGUGCGAGCGUUAAUCGGAAUUACUGGGCGUAAAGCGCGCGUAGGUGGCUUGAUUAGCCGGUUGUGAAAGCCCCGGGCUCAACCUGGGAACGGCAUCCGGAACUGUCAAGCUAGAGUGCAGGAGAGGAAGGUAGAAUUCCCGGUGUAGCGGUGAAAUGCGUAGAGAUCGGGAGGAAUACCAGUGGCGAAGGCGGCCUUCUGGACUGACACUGACACUGAGGUGCGAAAGCGUGGGUAGCAAACAGGAUUAGAUACCCCAGUAGUC